GGAACACCGUGGCACCUGACCACUGUCUACGGCCCGUGUGACGACGCUGAGAAGCUGUUGUUCCUCGAGGAACUAGCGGCGAUCCGUGCCCGCCGGUCGGGUCCCUGGCUCAUCCUCGGUGACUUCAACCUGGUCUACGAGGCAUGCGACAAGAGCAACUCGAACCUUAACCACUGCAUGAUGUCUAAGUUCCGGGCAGCGCUCAACGCUAGUGAACUGCGCGAGAUCCCAUUGCAUGGGCGCCGUUUCACCUGGUCUAACGAGCAGGACGAA
Molecule: ribosomal RNA, 273 nt
Filed under: Triticum aestivum (bread wheat)
Lineage: Eukaryota; Viridiplantae; Streptophyta; Magnoliopsida; Poales; Poaceae
Description: partial small subunit ribosomal RNA
Source: RNAcentral